GUCGAACGGUGAAGCCCCGCUUGCGGGGUGGAUCAGUGGCGAACGGGUGAGUAACACGUGAGCAACCUGCCCCUGACUCUGGGAUAAGCGCUGGAAACGGCGUCUAAUACUGGAUACGAGACGUGAUCGCAUGGUCAACGUUUGGAAAGAUUUUUCGGUUGGGGAUGGGCUCGCGGCCUAUCAGCUUGUUGGUGAGGUAAUGGCUCACCAAGGCGUCGACGGGUAGCCGGCCUGAGAGGGUGACCGGCCACACUGGGACUGAGACACGGCCCAGACUCCUACGGGAGGCAGCAGUGGGGAAUAUUGCACAAUGGGCGCAAGCCUGAUGCAGCAACGCCGCGUGAGGGAUGACGGCCUUCGGGUUGUAAACCUCUUUUAGCAGGGAAGAAGCGAGAGUGACGGUACCUGCAGAAAAAGCACCGGCUAACUACGUGCCAGCAGCCGCGGUAAUACGUAGGGUGCAAGCGUUAUCCGGAAUUAUUGGGCGUAAAGAGCUCGUAGGCGGUUUGUCGCGUCUGCUGUGAAAUCUGGGGGCUCAACCCCCAGCCUGCAGUGGGUACGGGCAGACUAGAGUGCGGUAGGGGAGAUUGGAAUUCCUGGUGUAGCGGUGGAAUGCGCAGAUAUCAGGAGGAACACCGAUGGCGAAGGCAGAUCUCUGGGCCGUAACUGACGCUGAGGAGCGAAAGGGUGGGGAGCAAACAGGCUUAGAUACCCUGGUAGUCCACCCCGUAAACGUUGGGAACUAGUUGUGGGGUCCAUUCCACGGAUUCCGUGACGCAGCUAACGCAUUAAGUUCCCCGCCUGGGGAGUACGGCCGCAAGGU
Molecule: ribosomal RNA, 823 nt
Filed under: Microbacterium sp. TCA3-21_Pa
Lineage: Bacteria; Bacillati; Actinomycetota; Actinomycetes; Micrococcales; Microbacteriaceae
Description: bacterial SSU rRNA
Rfam family: Bacterial small subunit ribosomal RNA
Source: RNAcentral